This 492-nucleotide ribosomal RNA is filed under the name uncultured bacterium. Its description in RNAcentral is "partial 16S ribosomal RNA". It matches the Rfam family "Bacterial small subunit ribosomal RNA", at positions 29 to 507 of the family's 1533-position model. The record is from RNAcentral.
AGUGAACGCUGGCGGUGGGCCUAACACAUGCAAGUCGAACGGCAGCACAGUAAGAGCUUGCUCUUACGGGUGGCGAGUGGCGGACGGGUGAGGAAUACAUCGGAAUCUACUUUUUCGUGGGGGAUAACGUAGGGAAACUUACGCUAAUACCGCAUACGACCUACGGGUGAAAGCAGGGGAUCUACGGACCUUGCGCGAUUGAAUGAGCCGAUGUCGGAUUAGCUAGUUGGCGGGGUAAAGGCCCACCAAGGCGACGAUCCGUAGCUGGUCUGAGAGGAUGAUCAGCCACACUGGAACUGAGACACGGUCCAGACUCCUACGGGAGGCAGCAGUGGGGAAUAUUGGACAAUGGGCGCAAGCCUGAUCCAGCCAUACCGCGUGGGUGAAGAAGGCCUUCGGGUUGUAAAGCCCUUUUGUUGGGAAAGAAAAGCAGCAGGUUAAUACCCCGCUGUUCUGACGGUACCCAAAGAAUAAGCACCGGCUAACUUCGUG